Long non-coding RNA from Hippoglossus stenolepis (Pacific halibut), 390 nucleotides. RefSeq lists it as uncharacterized. The transcript has 4 exons. The record is from RefSeq and is a predicted model, not a curated record. NCBI's taxonomy places the organism in Eukaryota, Metazoa, Chordata, Actinopteri, Pleuronectiformes, Pleuronectidae.
CCCUUUCAAAGUGUGAACACUUCCUUUUUCUGUAAAGUCUCAUUCUCGGAGUGAGGCUGUGUGUGACAGACUGAUACAAGUGGGUCCUCUGAGUUUUUAUUUGUUUCAGAAAUCCAGUUGUAGUCCCACAUGAGAUGGAGGCUCAGACAGUCACGUGGUUGGUUUUUCUUGCCCUGAUAAAACAUGUUUCUACAACUAACCCUGGAAAUCCCGUUGAAUACCCGCCCACUGAACCUAUACUGUCUAUGAGUUCUGAGGUCACAGAAGGUUGGACCAUCACCAUCAACUGCACUGUUGAAAGUUUCCCACAGUCAACUCUCACCUUGGGGAGGGCCGACCCAUAUCCUCAGUCUUUAAAAAUCACUGACAAUAAACUUAAUUCACGACCCA